Molecule: long non-coding RNA, 581 nt
Organism: Sarcophilus harrisii (Tasmanian devil)
Lineage: Eukaryota; Metazoa; Chordata; Mammalia; Dasyuromorphia; Dasyuridae
Exons: 2
Source: RefSeq, a predicted model, not a curated record
AAGUUAUUUCAACUGAGGGAGGGGGGGUGGGGAAAGGGGGAGAAGGGGGAAGGGGUGCCGAGAGAAAACAGUUGUGACAUAGGAACCAAGUUUUAAUUGCACAGAGAUUAAUAAUAAGUGUUAGAAGGGACAUGAGCUCAGCUGAAGGAAAGCCUCAGACCAAGCACCAGAUCUCAUUUUUAAAACUAAUGGGAAAUGCAAACAGCACAAGAGAUGCUCCAAGCUGCACAUUUUUAAUAAGAAAACGCCCACACAGACACGUUUAACAGCUAAAAGAAUUCAGAGGUAAGAGGAAUCUGGUUAGAGAAUCAGAAAAAGAUAACUGAAGAAAGUAACCCAAGCUGGUCCUUGAAGGAUGACUAUUUCACCGACAAAAGAUGUAGACCUGAGAUCUCUAUAAGGCUCAUGCUGAGAAUUCAAAGAGUCUUUUGGUUCCUAAAGCAUUUUUCUGUCUGCCUAGCCACUACUAACUAAAAAUAAAAGUUGCCUGUAUUUCAAUUGAUUAAUCUUAACCUUCCUAAUGUCAUUGUAACAGGGACACAGAAUUCAUUAGUGGGUAAUUAAAGUGACAGUGUUCUGCA